AGCAGAUGGAUUUCUACUACAAUAUUUUAUAAAAAAAAAUAUCCAUUAAUUUUAAUCCUAUCCCAAGAAAAAUAUUAAUUUUUCUAAUAUAUUUUGCGAGUUUAUAUAUCUUUAAAAUUUCCUAAGCCGCUCCUGUUCGCAUUGUAAAGGUUAGGAAAUUUCCUAUUUAUUUGUGUAGAAUUUACCAACUACGUAGAUAGUUAUUGUGAAAUCAUUCAUUAUUCGAGAAUGAAUCCUCUAAAAGGUUUGGUGUUUUUCCUUUAAGUUUUGAGCGAUAAAAAUCCCAUGUUAUUAUUGGUCUGCAUUUUGAAAGAUCCUUGAGUUGUAGUUGAGGAUUGGUCAAUAGUUUUGGCCGAACGAUCGAGAAGAAAUGCAUCGUUUGGACGCGAGAGAGACGUGACGAUGUAAAGCCAGUUCUAAAAGUACAUCACUUCAGUAAACAUCUUUUUGUUAGAACUCAACCAACAGACUCGUAGAAAGUCGCACUUUGCCGGCAAAAUGGUUUUAUUUUUAUGGUAAAAGAAGUGAAAGACUGGCAGUUUGCCCAGUAAAUGUCAACGAAUAUAAUGACAAUAGUUUCACGGCAUUUUAAUGGAUAUAUUAUUGUGAAAUAGUUCUAUUGUUAUGCAGUUUGAUUUGCCGGUAAAAAAGAAGUGCGUGGUUUCCUGGUUCCUGUCCUUUGUAUAGCUGUUGCUAUUUUUUUGAUGAUGUUUUGGAUUUGUUCAUGUUCCAGUAAGAAUUCCCGUAAGUUCCUGUUUCCAGUUUAGUAAUGAUUUGAAUGCCUUCCCCCCAAUCUCGAAUGGAAAAUUUUGAAGUUCCAAGUGUGACAUGUGACAAGGAUUUUGUUUUAGCGAGGUAUGGAUAAUGUUUAUUUUAAAUAAUUCACAAGUGGAUAUUAUUGGUAAAGAUUUUACAUAAUUAAAUAUGUUGUUUUCAACAUGGAUUCUCUAAAAAUUAUUAUGUAAAGUAAAUUUAAAGGCAGUGACAUUUGACAGCCAUGUCAAAUUUUUGUUUUGGUACACUGCUAAAAAUAAGGUUAAAAAUUGUAAAAUCAUGUAUUUUGUUAUUAUUAUUCAUUUCUGGUUUGAGAAUGUGUCUAUUCUCAAUAAAAAUAAAAAGGUAUAAAGGUUUAAAUAAACAUUAUAAAAUGUA
Long non-coding RNA from Diabrotica virgifera virgifera (western corn rootworm), 1152 nucleotides. RefSeq lists it as uncharacterized. The record is from RefSeq and is a predicted model, not a curated record. The transcript is spliced from 2 exons. NCBI's taxonomy places the organism in Eukaryota, Metazoa, Arthropoda, Insecta, Coleoptera, Chrysomelidae.